UGCUGACUGCAUGAAACAAAACCACCUCUCCUCUAGAGCCGCCUGAAAGGACAGGCUCAGAACACAGCUCACUCAGCAUGCUCUGGCUCAAGAACCCAGAAUGGACCCCAAAUGGCACUGAGGAAAGAGUCUGGUGCCCACCGAGCUGUGUGAUCUCAAGCAGGUCCCUCUACCUCUCCGGGCCUGUUUCUUCCU
Long non-coding RNA from Fukomys damarensis (Damara mole-rat), 195 nucleotides. RefSeq lists it as uncharacterized. Lineage: Eukaryota; Metazoa; Chordata; Mammalia; Rodentia; Bathyergidae. The record is from RefSeq and is a predicted model, not a curated record. The transcript is spliced from 3 exons.